RNAcentral lists this ribosomal RNA (293 nucleotides) under uncultured bacterium. RNAcentral describes it as "partial 16S ribosomal RNA". The record is from RNAcentral.
GGACUACUGGGGUAUCUAAUCCCAUUCGCGACCCACGCUUUCGUGCUUCAGCGUCAGGAGCGGGCCAGUCUCUUGCCUUCGCUUUCGGUGUUCCCCAUGAUAUCAACGCAUUUCACCGCUACACCAUGAGUUCCAGAGACCUCUCCCGUCCUCUUAGUUUCGCCGUUUCCUACGCGGACUCUCGGUUGAGCCGAAAGAUUUAACGCAAGACUAACGAAACCGCCUACGCACCCUUUACGCCCAAUGAUUCCGGAUAACGCUCGAGGCACUCGUAUUACCGCGGCUGCUGGCAC